RNAcentral lists this small RNA (2310 nucleotides) under Pan troglodytes (chimpanzee). RNAcentral's name for it is "retained intron". The record is from RNAcentral. Lineage: Eukaryota; Metazoa; Chordata; Mammalia; Primates; Hominidae.
AUACUUUCUGACUCUGACUUCCCUUUACUGCUCAAUGCAAAGUUCCUGGACCUGGGUCUGCUCAUCCCAGUUUCUGACAGAAUACACAUGAGGUGUCACCAUCAUUGGGGAGGUGAGGGCUUUGAGGCAGCAGGAAGGGACUAGUCAUUUGUUUCCAGAAUGAAGCCCUGGGGUUCAGAGUACCAGAGCCUCAGUGGAGGUCAGCAGAUGUCCCUCCCUCCUUGGAAUGGCAGCCCAUCCCAGGAGAUGUCCUGACAACACCUGUGUACCCUGCAUAGGGUCCCUGAUGGGCCUGGGUGACAUUAUCUCACAGCAGCUGGUGGAGAGGCGGGGUCUGCAGGAACACCAGAGAGGCCGGACUCUGACCAUGGUGUCCCUGGGCUGUGGCUUUGUGGUAAGUUCUCCCCUCAACAGGGCUUCAGUGGACUCAACAGUGGUCUUAGUUCUUUGCCAUCCUUUGGCUUCCCUUGGACUCUCACACCUAAGCCAACCUGCCGCCCUCUUUUUUCUUAGUGUCCACUUCCCCUAUUCUGAUACUUGGGGCAGGGAGCUUAGUGAGGUAGAGGCCUAGGGCUCCCUCACUGCAGCCUGCUGCUAUCUGGGGUUUACUUCCAGGGCCCUGUGGUAGGAGGCUGGUACAAGGUUUUGGAUCGGUUCAUCCCUGGCACCACCAAAGUGGAUGCACUGAAGAAGAUGUUGUUGGAUCAGGUGAGCAGGAGAACGGAGUGGGGAGGGUGAGCUAUGUUGGGGGUAGGUGGGGAUUUCAGCACUCAUAGGACUUUAAUUUCUCUUCCCUAGGGGGGCUUUGCCCCGUGUUUUCUAGGCUGCUUUCUCCCACUGGUAGGGGCACUUAAUGGACUGCCAGCCCAGGACAACUGGGCCAAACUACAGCGGGUGAGCUGGGCAGGUGUGGAGAAUGUCUCUGGCUGGCGGGCUGACAGCCCAGGGGAAGAAGACAGGUUUUACAGGGAUAAAAAAGGGGGUAAGUGCAGGUAGAGCCCCAGGCCAUGGAGGAGAGGAGCUGAGGGUUAUGGUGCAGGAAUGUGCUCUUUGAACCCAAGUCUGUGUGUGACAUUCACACUGGGAAGUGGGAGCUGCUUGGGGGCGCAAGUGUUAAUUUGUUCCUUCUCUGUCUCCCCAGGAUUAUCCUGAUGCCCUUAUCACCAACUACUAUGUAAGAGCUGACACCUCAACUGCUUGUUCUCCUGCUUCCUUAAGUCUAGAACUGUCCUGGGAUUGGGGGGUCCUCCUGACAUGGGAAACCCUUCCGUUGGGAUUACUCUUUCAUUCCCAGGAUGGGCACCAUAAAUAGGGAAGCCAUCACCCAACUGUUCACCUUUUUCUUGUGUGCAGAAGUUGGGGUAGGGCCAGGCAAGACAGUGAGUCUGGGGUCAGGUGGUGGGGCAGCCAUCCAACCUUUACAUUCUCUCUUGCAGCUAUGGCCUGCUGUGCAGUUAGCCAACUUCUACCUGGUCCCCCUUCAUUACAGGUAUGUUGCACCCCUACCCCACCCAUCAAGGAAGACCCACGUUACCAACAGUUGGAGACAAAAUGAUUCUCAUUUCAACCUUGAGCUACCUUAGACCCCCAAACGGAACACUGAGCCGUGAUCAGAGUUCCUCAAAUUCCCAAGCGUGUUAUUCAGAAUGUCUUGCCAUUUCCACAAACUGUCCCAGAGUGUCUGCCCACUGACCUUCUUCAUCUCCCUAGGGAGGAUCCUGCUUCUACCACCCUUGUCUCCAUCCCACCUGAGCUCCGUCUUUGAUGGCAUAUCUGGAGGGACAGUGGCUGGGGUGCUGCAGCCUAGGUUAGACAGAGAGGUAGACCAGAAGGCCAAGUAGGAGCCUGGUCAGACACUCACGAUAAAGACAGUUGCUGAACUGCACCCAAAAAGAUAGUGGAACUGAAGAUGUGUGGUUCAAAUGCUUGAAGGUGAAGGGUCGUGGGAACGGGAAAAUAUGGAACGCUACAGAGGGAACAGGGCCAAAAUGUACGUGAAUAGCAUAGCUAAAACGAAUACAGACUGGCUGGGCACGGUGGCUCACACCUGUAAUUCUAGCACUUUGGGAGGCUGAGGCAAGAGGUUUGCUUGAGUCCAGGAGUUUGACACCAGCCUGGGCAAUAUAGUGAGACCUCAUCUCUACAGAAAAUACAAAAAAUUAGCCAGGCACAUGGUAACAUGUGCCCGUAGUCCCAGCUACUCGGGAGGCUGAGGUGGGAGGAUCACUUGAGCCUGUGAGAUGGAGGUUGCUGUGAACUGAGAUUGUGCCACUGCAUUUCAGCCUGCUGACAGAGUGAGACCCUGUCUCC